RNAcentral lists this ribosomal RNA (553 nucleotides) under uncultured bacterium. RNAcentral describes it as "bacterial SSU rRNA". It matches the Rfam family "Archaeal small subunit ribosomal RNA", at positions 725 to 1275 of the family's 1478-position model. The record is from RNAcentral.
AGUGAAUAGAUACCCUGGUAGUCCUAGCCGUAAACGAUACUCGCUAGGUGUCGGCCACGGUGCGACCGUGGUCGGUGCCGUAGGGAAAGCCGUGAAGCGAGCCACCUGGGAAGUACGGCCGCAAGGCUGAAACUUAAAGGAAUUGGCGGGGGAGCACCACAACGGGUGGAGCUUGCGGUUUAAAUUGGAUUCAACGCCGGAAAUCUUACCGGGACCGACAGCGAUAUGAAGGCCAGGCUGAAGACUUUGCCGGAUUAGCUGAGAGGUGGUGCAUGGCCGUCGUCAGUUCGUACUGCGAAGCAUCCUGUUAAGUCAGGCAACGAGCGAGACCCACGCCCACAGUUGCCAGCGUACUCUCCGGAGUGACGGGUACACUGUGGGGACCGCCGCUGCUAAAGCGGAGGAAGGAAUGGGCAACGGUAGGUCAGUAUGCCCCGAAUAUCCCGGGCUACACGCGAGCUACAAUGGUUGGUACAAUGGGUAUCUACCCCGAAAGGGAUGGAAAUCUCCUAAAGCCAAUCUUAGUUCGGAUUGAGGGCUGCAACUCGCCCUC